CCAGACUCCUACGGGAGGCAGCAGUGAGGAAUAUUGGUCAAUGGCCGAGAGGCUGAACCAGCCAAGCCGCGUGAGGGAGGAAGGUACAGAGUAUCGUAAACCUCUUUUGCCGGGGAGCAGUGGUCCGGACGCGUCCGGACCGGGAGAGUACCCGGAGAAAAAGCAUCGGCUAACUCCGUGCCAGCAGCCGCGGUAAUACGGAGGAUGCGAGCGUUAUCCGGAUUUAUUGGGUUUAAAGGGUGCGUAGGCGGGCAUUUAAGCCGGCGGUCAAAUGUCGGGGCUCAACCCCGGCCUGCCGUCGGAACUGGGUGCCUUGAGUGGGCGAGAAGUAUGCGGAAUGCGUGGUGUAGCGGUGAAAUGCAUAGAUAUCACGCAGAACCCCGAUUGCGAAGGCAGCAUACCGGCGCCCUACUGACGCUGAGGCACGAAAGUGCGGGUAUCGAACAGGAUUAGAUACCCCGGUA
This 464-nucleotide ribosomal RNA is filed under the name uncultured bacterium. Its description in RNAcentral is "bacterial SSU rRNA". It matches the Rfam family "Bacterial small subunit ribosomal RNA", at positions 331 to 792 of the family's 1533-position model. The record is from RNAcentral.